AAGGGGCAGAAAGGACAGCAAGAAUCCCAAGCGGGCACAGAGCCAGACGCAGGGCUCAAACUCAUGAACCAUGAGGCGAUGACCUGUGCAGAAAUCAAGAAUCGGUUGGACCCAGCCACUUCAUUUCCAUUUCUAAGCCGUGGCUGGAAAUCCAGAGCCCAUUGGUGGUGAGAUAUUUAAUUUCCCAGAGUCCAUAGGCGCUCAAAGACAUCAACAUAAUUUACCCGAAACUCCUGCAUGACUUUGUGCUUGCUCUAAACAUUAUGGCUUUAAAAUGCUACAUUAAUGUGGGAGGAGUGCCCUUUUUAUGUCCUCACUUGCAUGAUGAAAGCCUUCCUCGGUGCCUUUGUUACCAACUUGGUACCUACCAGGUGGUGAUUGCAAUUUAGGACAAUGUGAACUUAACAUCGGGACUAAGCCUGUUGCCACCCAUUUGGCAGUGACCAAGCUAGAUUUUAAAGGUCACUGCAUAAUUUAUGGCACGAGCGAGCAGUUAGAACUCUCUGACAACGUAAAAUAAUAGACUGCCUUUUUUUUUUUUUUUUUUUUUUCCACGGUCUAUCAUUUUCUCUGCGCUGCUCCCUCUGAAUCUGGGGAGGUAAGAGACCAGGCUGCCCUGGGUGCCCUUGUCUUGGGUCAGAGAGCAGCAGAGCCCAGGGCCAGGCCAGACGUUGACUCCACAUGUCCCUGUUGGUGACCCGUUCCUAGGAAGGGACGCUCCCUGGAGAAAGACGAGCCCCGUAUAUCAGCCCGCGGGAACCUGGCUGUGCCAUCAGGGACAUGUUUCAGAUCACUGUGGAAGGACUUUAAGAAAAGAGCCAAAUAACCUAUAUUUACAAUUGUUUCUUUCUGACUGAUCUGCAUUACUUGGGUCUCUGAAUCUCAAGUUUUCACGGCUACAUCUAAGGCAGAAGGAAAAGAGGUAUCUUAUACAUGUUAAGAGGAGUAUCAGGUCAAGUGGCUGUUAAAAGCUAUUUACCCAGGUGGUAAAAUAGCAAAAUCACGUGGGCUUUUCUCCCCGCGUCCGUAACGUGUACGUAACGUAACAUACGUAACGUGAGAAUCCCUGUCCCUAAAUCCCCCUGGAGCGGCAGAUUGCUGAGAAGGGGUGCGUGUGACGGUCAUCUCCUGCCAGCUUUACCUGUGAGCUAACAAGAAAGAUGCUAUCCUUGGAGGCGGAGAAAGAAUGAGGCGUUCCCCUGAUCAGAGUCUUCGGAGCAAAAAUCACCAGCCACUUGGGUGAGAGGAUGACUGAACGGCAAACGUACCUCAGAAGUUAGAGACUGUGAAUUGCUCUGGAGAAUGUCAAGUUUUGUCUCCUGUGGAGCCAUUUGCUUACUUUCAGGAACCUUGAGAUCACGACCUGAGCUGAAGUCUGACGCUUAACAGACUGAGCCAGCCAGGCGCCCUCCAAGGCUGCGCCCUUUCAUAAAAUUGAAUGAAGGACCCCGCUCCCUGCAGCUGAAUCCCAACGCUGCUGAUGGAAACAAAGAAUUCUGCGGUGCUGGAUGCAGCUACCACGUGACCCUUCACUUUGACCGUGGCUCCAGCUGCCUGCGUCCCAAACUGACUCUCCCAUUGAUUGCAGCCGCUGCCUUCCCAUAGAAGGAGCCAAUAUUGCUGCAGCACCCCCCACCCCCACCCCCACCCCGGGUAGACCUUCCAGGUACACGGAAUAUAAAAACCCUUAUGUUCCAGACUCCAUUGUCACGGCGCUCCCAGAAGCCCAGGGGCCGGUGGACGGAUCCUUGUAAAGCACCCCUAUGGCCCUGCUCGCAGGGGACAAGGGGCUCCCGGAGACACGCCCACGGAAAUGGGUUCUGGCCGUUGUAGGACUUGGCUGCACAUUCAUACGUCCGUACGCUUCCGGCUUAGAUUAAGUCAUAUCUGAAUGAGUCAUUUCUCCACCUCCCCAUUUCUCACUCUGACGCCUGCACCCUAGACGCGACAGUGCGUCCUUAACCGGAUUUCUCUCUGUACCCAGCCUGUCACUCCCAGCCCUCUCAGCGGACACCAGCUGGCCUUUCCAAAUGCACAUUUAAGAUGUCACUCUUCAGCUUAAGUAUCUUCUUUUUUUUUUAAGUUUAUUUGAGACAGAGCUAGCAUGAAUGGGGGAGGGGCAGAGAGAG
Molecule: long non-coding RNA, 2129 nt
Organism: Acinonyx jubatus (cheetah)
Lineage: Eukaryota; Metazoa; Chordata; Mammalia; Carnivora; Felidae
Exons: 3
Source: RefSeq, a predicted model, not a curated record